GUUAUUUAUUAUAGUGGAGAAAAAUUUGACAUGUAACGAUUAUUGCUACCACAAGGAGGUAGCAAUAAUUGUUUUGCUGGUUUGUUGGUUUGCCGUGUCAAGUCCGAGUGAAAUUCGAGCCUGAGUCAAAUGUUCAAGUCACUGGCUGUUUGGCGGUCUUUGUAGUUCAUUGACGUAGUACCCUGUACCCUACAGGACCUUAUUCCUAACCCAGGGCCGUAGCAACCACUAAUCAUUCUUUUUCCAAAAUCAUGCAGAUCAUCCAUUCUCAUUCAUGCUAAUCAUUCUUUUUCCAAAAUUAUGCAGAAUCAUUUAAAUAAUAUACCUUUAAAAUACUGACAAUUGAUUAAUUUUAAGCGGCUACAUUACCCAUGACAAACUGCAAAGAAUGAAAUUAUAUUUUUCAUACUUUCCUGCAACUUAUCCAAUAUUGAUAUAGUUCAUUAAAUACGCCUUUGCCCAUUUAGUGCUACUAAAUUGUAAAUUUCGACAUAAUCUAAAAUGAUGUUUUCUGACCAUCAGAAUUCUGUCAAAUCUUCCCCAAAGUCCAGGAAAUGGCAUUUCAGAGACUCUAAAUUUAAAAAUUUCCUCGGGCCUUUGGCCCUCAAAGCUCUGCUAGGCAUGUCCCAAUUGUGCUCAGCAACUGUACA
Paramuricea clavata is the source of this 650-nucleotide non-coding RNA. Lineage: Eukaryota; Metazoa; Cnidaria; Anthozoa; Malacalcyonacea; Plexauridae. The record is from the annotation of a GenBank genome assembly.